CCUACGGGGGGCUGCAGUGGGGAAUAUUGGACAAUGGGGGGAACCCUGAUCCAGCCAUGCCGCGUGUGUGAAGAAGGCCCUCGGGUUGUAAAGCACUUUCAGUGAGGAAGAACGCCUGGUGGUUAAUACCCAUCAGGAAAGACAUCACUCACAGAAGAAGCACCGGCUAACUCCGUGCCAGCAGCCGCGGUAAUACGGAGGGUGCGAGCGUUAAUCGGAAUUACUGGCGUAAAGCGCGCGGAGGUGGCUUGAUAAGCCGGUUGUGAAAGCCCCGGGCUCAACCUGGGAACGGCAUCCGGAACUGUCAAGCUAGAGUGCAGGAGAGGAAGGUAGAAUUCCCGGUGUAGCGGUGAAAUGCGUAGAGAUCGGGAGGAAUACCAGUGGCGAAGGCGGCCUUCUGGACUGACACUGACACUGAGGUGCGAAAGCGUGGGUAGCAAACAGGAUUAGAUACCCGAGUAGUC
Molecule: ribosomal RNA, 464 nt
Filed under: Vreelandella stevensii
Lineage: Bacteria; Pseudomonadati; Pseudomonadota; Gammaproteobacteria; Oceanospirillales; Halomonadaceae
Description: partial 16S ribosomal RNA
Rfam family: Bacterial small subunit ribosomal RNA
Source: RNAcentral